AACGCACAUUGCGCCCGCUGGAAUUCCGGCGGGCAUGCCUGUUCGAGCGUCAUUUCAACCCUCAAGCCUCGCUUGGUGUUGGGGCACUACCCGUCAAACGGUAGGCCCUGAAAUCUAGUGGCGGGCUCGCUAAGACUCUGAGCGUAGUAGUUUACCACCUCGCUUUGGAAGGAUUAGCGGUGCUCUUGCCGUAAAACCCCCCAACUUCUGAAAAUUUGACCUCGGAUCAGGUAGGAAUACCCGCUGAACUUAA
This 253-nucleotide unclassified non-coding RNA is filed under the name uncultured fungus. RNAcentral's name for it is "sequence contains ITS2". The record is from RNAcentral. Lineage: Eukaryota; Fungi.